Molecule: long non-coding RNA, 949 nt
Organism: Gasterosteus aculeatus aculeatus (three-spined stickleback)
Lineage: Eukaryota; Metazoa; Chordata; Actinopteri; Perciformes; Gasterosteidae
Source: Ensembl
CGGGGCUUCCUCUUCCUGCUUGUCCUCGGCGCAGAUGGAGUCCAAAGAGCGGCGGGGGCGAGUCGAGAAGAACCUGCAAGCGUUGUUCAUCUUUCAGGAGGCGAGGACGGUUGUCAAGUGUCUGUCCCGUGUCUUCGAGGCGGAGCCCCAGCCGGCCGCCCUGCCCUCCGGGGACCCCUUCGUCCCGGCGCUGCACUACGCGCUCUUCAAGCUGCGGCCCAACCCGGGCAAGGACCCGAGCCUGGGGGUGGAGCGGCAGGCCGCCGACUACCUGACCCGCAUGGACGCGGGCACGGUGCGGCCGUUCGUCCUCCCCGAGUACUAGAACAACGUGGACGACAGGACCAACUCGCUCCUGGUGCACCGACCCAAGUGCAACAUGGACGCCGCGCUGCGCUCGUACGUGCACAACCCCGGCAACUACGUCUUACCUCUGAGCAAGGCCAAGGAGGUCGUCGACAGGAUACGGAACCCCGCGCCGGCUCCGCCCCCGGCCCUGCCCUCGGCCCCGCCCCCGGUGGAGUACAGCCCCGUGUCCGACUGGGGCGGCUCGGACCGCGGCUCGGACCGCGCCGAGAGGCCCCCCAAGGAGAGGGCGGCGGCGGAGAAGCAGGGGGCGGCCCAUUUCAACGGGGCCCAGGCGCAGCCCGAGGCCCCCGCGGCGGAGCCCCAACCGCUGCCGCCGCUCACCCCCCCCCACAGGCUGCGCCUGUCCCAGAACGAGUACGACGAAGACAAGAUGAAGCAGCUGCUGAAGCUGAUCUAGCUCCAUAAGAAGGCCAUCGUGAUAGAGCCGGAUGUCAGCUUUCUGAUGAGGAAGUUCGAGGGAGACGACCGGGGGGGCGCCCACAAGCAUCAUUGCACGGAUCAGCUGAGCAACGGGGAGUCUAGCAGAGGACCCCAAUCGGAGGAGGUGGGGGACGAGGGCGUUCCCGGCGACAACCUGACG